Thalassophryne amazonica is the source of this 100-nucleotide long non-coding RNA. RefSeq lists it as uncharacterized. The record is from RefSeq and is a predicted model, not a curated record. The transcript is spliced from 4 exons. Lineage: Eukaryota; Metazoa; Chordata; Actinopteri; Batrachoidiformes; Batrachoididae.
GGUAAAUUUUAAUUUCAAAAUAUCAAUUUGGCUGGCAUUGCAUGUUGUUCCAAUUAACAUAAAACUGACUUUUGCAAAGAUUUAUUGGAAAAAAAUUUUG